GCUACAGGCGAUAGCACGUUGCAUGCACCAGUUUCCAAUGAAUCACUGAAAUUAAGCAACGCUGUGCGUGGUUGGUAAUCGAACCAUGUGGGCUGCUGGCU
RNAcentral lists this ribosomal RNA (101 nucleotides) under Diaphorina citri (Asian citrus psyllid). The record is from RNAcentral. Lineage: Eukaryota; Metazoa; Arthropoda; Insecta; Hemiptera; Psyllidae.